GAUGAACGCUGGCGGCGUGCCUAAUACAUGCAAGUCGAGCGAACGGACGAGAAGCUUGCUUUUCUGAUGUUAGCGGCGGACGGGUGAGUAACACGUGGAUAACCUACCUAUAAGACUGGGAUAACUUCGGGAAACCGGAGCUAAUACCGGAUAAUAUUUUGAACCGCAUGGUUCAAAAGUGAAAGACGGUCUUGCUGUCACUUAUAGAUGGAUCCGCGCUGCAUUAGCUAGUUGGUAAGGUAACGGCUUACCAAGGCAACGAUGCAUAGCCGACCUGAGAGGGUGAUCGGCCACACUGGAACUGAGACACGGUCCAGACUCCUACGGGAGGCAGCAGUAGGGAAUCUUCCGCAAUGGGCGAAAGCCUGACGGAGCAACGCCGCGUGAGUGAUGAAGGUCUUCGGAUCGUAAAACUCUAUUAUUAGGGAAGAACAUAUGUGUAAGUAACUGCGCACAUCUUGACGGUACCUAAUCAGAAAGCCACGGCUAACUACGUG
This 497-nucleotide ribosomal RNA is filed under the name uncultured bacterium. RNAcentral's name for it is "partial 16S ribosomal RNA". It matches the Rfam family "Bacterial small subunit ribosomal RNA", at positions 28 to 507 of the family's 1533-position model. The record is from RNAcentral.